GACGAACGCUGGCGGCGUGCUUAACACAUGCAAGUCGAACGGGUCUGCCCUGUUUUUUGCGGGGUGGGUCAGUGGCGAACGGGUGAGUAACACGUGAGUAACCUGCCCCUCACUUCUGGAUAACCGCUUGAAAGGGUGGCUAAUACGGGGUGUUCUGGCUGUGCCGCAUGGUGUGGCUGGGAAAGAUUCACUUUUGUGGUGUUUUGGUGGGGGAUGGGCUCGCGGCCUAUCAGCUUGUUGGUGGGGUGAUGGCCUGCCAAGGCUUUGACGGGUAGCCGGCCUGGGAGGGUGGGCGGUCACACUGGGACUGAGAGACGGCCCAGACUCCUGCGGGAGGCAGCAGUGGGGGGUAUUGCACAAUGGGCGGAAGCCUGAUGCAGCGACGUCGCGGGAGGGAUGGAGGCCUUCGGGUUGUGAACCUCUUUCGCCGGUGAAGAAGGUCCUGCUCUUUGUGGUGGGGUUGACGGUAGCCGGGUUAUGAAGCGCCGGCUAACUACGUG
Molecule: ribosomal RNA, 500 nt
Filed under: uncultured bacterium
Lineage: Bacteria
Description: partial 16S ribosomal RNA
Rfam family: Bacterial small subunit ribosomal RNA
Source: RNAcentral